GGGGAAUAUUGCACAAUGGGCGAAAGCCUGAUGCAGCCAUGCCGCGUGUAUGAAGAAGGCCUUCGGGUUGUAAAGUACUUUCAGUUGUGAGGAAGGGGGUGUCGUUAAUAGCGGCAUCUCUUGACGUUAGCAACAGAAGAAGCACCGGCUAACUCCGUGCCAGCAGCCGCGGUAAUACGGAGGGUGCGAGCGUUAAUCGGAAUUACUGGGCGUAAAGCGCAUGCAGGUGGUUCAUUAAGUCAGAUGUGAAAGCCCGGGGCUCAACCUCGGAACUGCAUUUGAAACUGGUGAACUAGAGUACUGUAGAGGGGGGUAGAAUUUCAGGUGUAGCGGUGAAAUGCGUAGAGAUCUGAAGGAAUACCAGUGGCGAAGGCGGCCCCCUGGACAGAUACUGACACUCAGAUGCGAAAGCGUGGGGAGCAAACAGG
RNAcentral lists this ribosomal RNA (428 nucleotides) under uncultured bacterium. RNAcentral's name for it is "bacterial SSU rRNA". It matches the Rfam family "Bacterial small subunit ribosomal RNA", at positions 356 to 776 of the family's 1533-position model. The record is from RNAcentral.